This 1477-nucleotide ribosomal RNA is filed under the name metagenome. Its description in RNAcentral is "bacterial SSU rRNA". It matches the Rfam family "Bacterial small subunit ribosomal RNA". The record is from RNAcentral.
AGAGUUUGAUCCUGGCUCAGGAUGAACGCUAGCGGCAGGCCUAACUCAUGCAAGUCGAGGGGUAUAAGUAGCAAUACUUAGAGACCGGCGCACGGGUGAGUAACGCGUAUGCAACCUACCUUAUACAGGGGGAUAGCUCAGUGAAAACUGAAUUAAUACCCCAUAAAGCAGGGGUACCGCCUGGUACUAUUUGCUAAAGAUUUAUCGGUAUAAGAUGGGCAUGCGCGCCAUUAGCUAGUUGGUAGGGUAACGGCCUACCAAGGCUACGAUGGCUAGGGGGUCUGAGAGGAUGAUCCCCCACACUGGUACUGAGACACGGACCAGACUCCUACGGGAGGCAGCAGUGAGGAAUAUUGGUCAAUGGACGCAAGUCUGAACCAGCCAUGCCGCGUGAAGGAUGACUGCCCUAAGGGUUGUAAACUUCUUUUGUACGGGGGUAAUUUUUCGGUCGUGACCGGAAUUGAAAGUACUGUACGAAUAAGCGUCGGCUAACUACGUGCCAGCAGCCGCGGUAAUACGUAGGACGCAAGCGUUAUCCGGAUUUAUUGGGUUUAAAGGGUGCGUAGGCGGACAAAUAAGUCAGCGGUGAAAGACUGUCGCUCAACGAUAGCAUUGCCAUUGAUACUGUAUGUCUUGAGUACAAUUGAGGUAGGCGGAAUGUGUAGUGUAGCGGUGAAAUGCUUAGAUAUUACACAGAACACCGAUUGCGAAGGCAGCUUACUAAAUUGUUACUGACGCUGAGGCACGAAAGCGUGGGGAUCAAACAGGAUUAGAUACCCUGGUAGUCCACGCCGUAAACGAUGAUCACUGGUUGUUAGCGAUAUACAGUUAGCGACUGAGCGAAAGCAUUAAGUGAUCCACCUGGGGAGUACGUCGGCAACGAUGAAACUCAAAGGAAUUGACGGGGGCCCGCACAAGCGGAGGAACAUGUGGUCUAAUUCGAUGAUACGCGAGGAACCUUACCUGGGCUCGAACGUGAGAGGAAUUAUGUGGAAACAUGUAAGUCAGCAAUGACCUCUUACGAGGUGCUGCAUGGUUGUCGUCAGCUCGUGCCGUGAGGUGUCGGCUUAAGUGCCAUAACGAGCGCAACCCCUAUUGUUAGUUGCCAGCGGGUUAAGCCGGGGACUCUAACAAAACUGCCAGCGUAAGCUGUGAGGAAGGCGGGGAUGACGUCAAAUCAGCACGGCCCUUACGUCCAGGGCUACACACGUGUUACAAUGGCCGGUACAGAGGGCAGCUACUCCGUGAGGAGAUGCUAAUCUCAAAAGCCGGUCUCAGUUCGGAUUGGAGUCUGCAACUCGACUCCAUGAAGUUGGAUUCGCUAGUAAUCGCGCAUCAGCCACGGCGCGGUGAAUACGUUCCCGGGCCUUGUACACACCGCCCGUCAAGCCAUGGGAGCUGGGGGUACCUGAAGUACGUGACCGCAAGGAGCGUCCUAGGGUAAGACUGGUGACUGGGGCUAAGUCGUAACAAGGUA